CGCGGCCUAUCAGCUUGUUGGUGGGGUAAUGGCCUACCAAGGCGUCGACGGGUAGCCGGCCUGAGAGGGUGUACGGCCACAUUGGGACUGAGAUACGGCCCAGACUCCUACGGGAGGCAGCAGUGGGGAAUAUUGCACAAUAGGCGCAAGCCUGAUGCAGCGACGCCGCGUGGGGGAUGACGGCCUUCGGGUUGUAAACUCCUUUCGCUAGGGACGAAGCGUGUUUGUGACGGUACCUGGAGAAGAAGCACCGGCUAACUACGUGCCAGCAGCCGCGGUAAUACGUAGGGUGCGAGCGUUGUCCGGAAUUACUGGGCGUAAAGAGCUCGUAGGUGGUUUGUCGUGUCGUUUGUGUAAGCCCGCAGCUUAACUGCGGGACUGCAGGCGAUACGGGCAUAACUUGAGUGCUGUAGGGGAGACUGGAAUUCCUGGUGUAGCGGUGGAAUGCGCAGAUAUCAGGAGGAACACCGAUGGCGAAGGCAGGUCUCUGGGCAGUAACUGACGCUGAGGAGCGAAAGCAUGGGUAGCGAACAGGAUUAGAUACCCUGGUAGUCCAUGCCGUAAACGGUGGGCGCUGGGUGUGAGUCCCUUCCACGGGGUUCGUGCCGUAGCUAACGCAUUAAGCGCCCCGCCUGGGGAGUACGG
This 645-nucleotide ribosomal RNA is filed under the name uncultured actinomycete. RNAcentral describes it as "bacterial SSU rRNA". It matches the Rfam family "Bacterial small subunit ribosomal RNA", at positions 232 to 885 of the family's 1533-position model. The record is from RNAcentral. Lineage: Bacteria; Bacillati; Actinomycetota; Actinomycetes; Actinomycetales.